Molecule: long non-coding RNA, 1782 nt
Filed under: Strigops habroptila (Kakapo)
Lineage: Eukaryota; Metazoa; Chordata; Aves; Psittaciformes; Psittacidae
Description: lncRNA (ENSSHBG00005015165.1)
Source: RNAcentral
GCAUCUGGGGUGAAGACACAGAGCUGUGAAACUCUCAGCAUGGUAUUUGGGUGUCAAGAGAGUGCUCCACGUGCACUUCAGAGCUGGAUUCAAAGUUGUCUUCUGUUGCAUGUUUUACCUUCACUUCUGGCUUCCAUGGCACUGUUGCCACGUCUUCCACGUAAAUCAGAAGAUAACACAGUUGACUGCUUUUGACCAACCAGCAGAAUUACCCUCCCUACCCCCUUUUGGUUGUUUUUUGUUCUUGGCUUGUUUUUAAACACAGAUUGACAGUAGGGAGGAAACUGAUUUAGGGGUUGAACUGUGCCUUAAAGAAAGCUAUAGUUCUCCUAGAGUCUAUAGCAGUUGUUUAGAUUCUUGUUUCUUUCUCUCCACACCCAUAUGUAUAAUUUGAACAAGCUUUAUGUAACUAGACAUGGAAGUUUUCACUUGUAGGUCCAUAGGUGCCCUGCACGCCACCCAGAGAAGCCAGCACAAGGAGGGUAUGUUGUAGAAGUCCUACCUCCACCCUCUAAGGCUCAGCAUCAUGUGUUAGAGGUUUUGUACUCCGUUCUCAGCACACAAUUCCUACUUCCUUCCUUGUUCUCCUACAAGUAGGCUGUGCUCUCUCUUGGAGCACUUCCAUGUCUUCCCAAGCAAAUUGUCUCCAUAUAACCAUGUAUUAAUUCUCUACUGUUUAGUAUAAAUGAAAUUAACAUCUGCAACUCCUAGCACCAGAGAAAAUGAGCUGCAGGUUUGAUCACUGCGGAACCGCACCCCUGGCUGAAGGAGCAGCACAGAAGUUGGCAUGGCCUGUUAGUCCAUGGAAGCUGGAGGAGGCAAAGCUCGGGAGGUCAGCUUACAAAGAGGUAGCCCUGAAUCUGUGCAGGGGACCUGUGCUAGUUCUUCUCAAGCUCUGGCCAAAGUGAAACAGGUCAGAGCUCUUUUCACAGUGGUGAUUACUAGUGCCCAGACACAGGCCUACCAAAGCAGCUGAGGGACUCCGUGCUGUUAAUGCAUCCUCUUGGUGGCCUGUAGAGACCCCUCUGCUCCUGAGUGUUGGUAAAACAUGUAUGAAAGAAAUGGUGGCCCCUACCCCCAAAGAACAAGAGUUCUGUCACAGGCAGUUUUGUUUUGGCAAAGGCAAGGCACUUCCAUGAGGGAUGCGGAAGAACCUGUCCCAGUGGGCAGUAAGGAAGCGCCAGCUGUGUGGUUUCUAGGCCUGUGUUCAGUUGGCUUUUUAAACCAACUAGUAAUUUGAGUUUGGGAGUUUGGACACUUCCAACUGCCUUGAGACUGUUCCAAUGCCAGCAAAGCAUGCUGCUCCUUCUGCCAGGCUCCUUUGCCAAGUGUUGUGUCCUCCGCUCAGGGCUUUGGUCUCCUGUGGGCUGGCAGACAGGAAGGUGACCAGGAAGUACAUCAGGGUGAGUGUAGGCCUCUGAGGAUACAAAAAACCCCGGUUAGCCUGAAGGCCAGCUCUUAGGAACAAAUACUUUAUGUACUGAGCUGCCUCCAGCUCCUCCUGAUUUGAAUUUGCUUUUAUUUUUAGUUUUAUUUUUGAUGCACUGAACUGUGAUUCUGAAUCCCCCUUCAAGAAGGCAAGCAUGAGCCACCAUGCUCCUUGCUUCCCUGCUGCAGGGUAAAUACACAGGGAUUAUGUUGAGAAGGGGAGGUGAGGAAGGUCUUGCUGAAGGGAAUGUUAAUGUACAUUAAUUGCACAAUGUAUUGUUAUUAGGCUGUGUAUCAUUUUGUGUUGACUCCCGCUUUCAUUGUCUCUAUUACCAAUACAGCCCUUUUAGUUCA